Molecule: ribosomal RNA, 253 nt
Filed under: uncultured bacterium
Lineage: Bacteria
Description: partial 16S ribosomal RNA
Rfam family: Bacterial small subunit ribosomal RNA
Source: RNAcentral
UACGAAGGGGGCUAGCGUUGCUCGGAAUCACUGGGCGUAAAGCGCACGUAGGCGGCCUGCUAAGUCAGGGGUGAAAUCCUGGAGCUCAACUCCAGAACUGCCUUUGAUACUGGCGAGCUCGAGUCCGGGAGAGGUGAGUGGAACUGCGAGUGUAGAGGUGAAAUUCGUAGAUAUCGGGAGGAACACCAGUGGCGAAGGCGGCGACCUGGGCCAAUACUGACGCUGAGGUGCGAAAGCGUGGGGAGCAAACAGG